GGUUAAGUGACUAAGCGUACACGGUGGAUGCCUGGGCAGUCAGAGGCGAUGAAGGACGUACUAACUUGCGAUAAGCGCAGAUGAGGCAGUAAGAGCCGUUUGAGUCUGCGAUUUCCGAAUGGGGAAACCCAACUGCAUAAGCAGUUACUGUUAACUGAAUACAUAGGUUAACAGAGCAAACCGGGGGAACUGAAACAUCUAAGUACCCCGAGGAGAAGAAAUCAACCGAGAUUCCGGUAGUAGCGGCGAGCGAACCUGGAUUAGCCCUUAAGCACUCGGUGAAGUAGGUGAACAAGCUGGAAAGCUUGGCGAUACAGGGUGAUAGCCCCGUAACCGACGCUUCAUCGAGCGUGAAAUCGAGUAGGGCGGGACACGUGAUAUCCUGUCUGAAUAUGGGGGGACCAUCCUCCAAGGCUAAAUACUCCUGACUGACCGAUAGUGAACCAGUACCGUGAGGGAAAGGCGAAAAGAACCCCUGUGAGGGGAGUGAAAUAGAACCUGAAACCGUGUACGUACAAGCAGUAGGAGCACCUUCGUGGUGUGACUGCGUACCUUUUGUAUAAUGGGUCAGCGACUUAUAUUCAGUGGCAAGGUUAACCGUAUAGGGGAGCCGUAGCGAAAGCGAGUCUUAACUGGGCGCUCAGUCUCUGGAUAUAGACCCGAAACCGGGUGAUCUAGCCAUGGGCAGGUUGAAGGUUGAGUAACAUCAACUGGAGGACCGAACCGACUAAUGUUGAAAAAUUAGCGGAUGACUUGUGGCUAGGGGUGAAAGGCCAAUCAAACUCGGAGAUAGCUGGUUCUCCCCGAAAGCUAUUUAGGUAGCGCCUCGGACGAAUACUACUGGGGGUAGAGCACUGUUAAGGCUAGGGGGUCAUCCCGACUUACCAACCCUUUGCAAACUCCGAAUACCAGUAAGUACUAUCCGGGAGACACACGGCGGGUGCUAACGUCCGUCGUGGAGAGGGAAACAACCCAGACCGCCAGCUAAGGUCCCAAAGUAUUGCUAAGUGGGAAACGAUGUGGGAAGGCUCAGACAGCUAGGAUGUUGGCUUAGAAGCAGCCAUCAUUUAAAGAAAGCGUAAUAGCUCACUAGUCGAGUCGGCCUGCGCGGAAGAUGUAACGGGGCUAAGCAAUACACCGAAGCUGCGGCAAUAUCUUUUAGAUAUUGGGUAGGGGAGCGUUCUGUAAGCCGUUGAAGGUGAAUCGUAAGGUUUGCUGGAGGUAUCAGAAGUGCGAAUGCUGACAUGAGUAACGACAAAGGGGGUGAAAAACCUCCUCGCCGGAAGACCAAGGGUUCCUGUCCAACGUUAAUCGGGGCAGGGUGAGUCGACCCCUAAGGUGAGGCCGAAAGGCGUAAUCGAUGGGAAACGGGUUAAUAUUCCCGUACUUCUGACUAUUGCGAUGGGGGGACGGAGAAGGCUAGGUGGGCCAGGCGACGGUUGUCCUGGUUCAAGUGCGUAGGCUUGAGAGUUAGGUAAAUCCGGCUCUCUCUAAGGCUGAGACACGACGUCGAGCUGCUACGGCAGUGAAGUCAUUGAUGCCAUGCUUCCAGGAAAAGCCUCUAAGCUUCAGAUAGUCAGGAAUCGUACCCCAAACCGACACAGGUGGUCGGGUAGAGAAUACCAAGGCGCUUGAGAGAACUCGGGUGAAGGAACUAGGCAAAAUGGUACCGUAACUUCGGGAGAAGGUACGCUCUUGAUGGUGAAGUCCCUCGCGGAUGGAGCUGACGAGAGUCGCAGAUACCAGGUGGCUGCAACUGUUUAUUAAAAACACAGCACUGUGCAAAAUCGCAAGAUGACGUAUACGGUGUGACGCCUGCCCGGUGCCGGAAGGUUAAUUGAUGGGGUUAGCGCAAGCGAAGCUCUUGAUCGAAGCCCCGGUAAACGGCGGCCGUAACUAUAACGGUCCUAAGGUAGCGAAAUUCCUUGUCGGGUAAGUUCCGACCUGCACGAAUGGCGUAAUGAUGGCCACGCUGUCUCCACCCGAGACUCAGUGAAAUUGAAAUCGCUGUGAAGAUGCAGUGUACCCGCGGCUAGACGGAAAGACCCCGUGAACCUUUACUACAGCUUGGCACUGAACAUUGAACCUACAUGUGUAGGAUAGGUGGGAGGCUAUGAAGACGUGACGCCAGUUGCGUUGGAGCCGUCCUUGAAAUACCACCCUUGUAUGUUUGAUGUUCUAACUUAGACCCAUUAUCUGGGUUGAGGACAGUGCCUGGUGGGUAGUUUGACUGGGGCGGUCUCCUCCCAAAGAGUAACGGAGGAGCACGAAGGUGGGCUAAUCACGGUUGGACAUCGUGAGGUUAGUGCAAUGGCAUAAGCCCGCUUAACUGCGAGAAUGACGGUUCGAGCAGGUGCGAAAGCAGGUCAUAGUGAUCCGGUGGUUCUGUAUGGAAGGGCCAUCGCUCAACGGAUAAAAGGUACUCCGGGGAUAACAGGCUGAUACCGCCCAAGAGUUCAUAUCGACGGCGGUGUUUGGCACCUCGAUGUCGGCUCAUCACAUCCUGGGGCUGAAGUCGGUCCCAAGGGUAUGGCUGUUCGCCAUUUAAAGUGGUACGCGAGCUGGGUUUAGAACGUCGUGAGACAGUUCGGUCCCUAUCUGCCGUGGGCGUUGGAAGAUUGAAGGGGGCUGCUCCUAGUACGAGAGGACCGGAGUGGACGAACCUCUGGUGUUCGGGUUGUGUCGCCAGACGCAUUGCCCGGUAGCUAAGUUCGGAAUUGAUAAGCGCUGAAAGCAUCUAAGCGCGAAGCGAGC
Molecule: ribosomal RNA, 2754 nt
Filed under: Vibrio cholerae
Lineage: Bacteria; Pseudomonadati; Pseudomonadota; Gammaproteobacteria; Vibrionales; Vibrionaceae
Description: partial 23S ribosomal RNA
Rfam family: Bacterial large subunit ribosomal RNA
Source: RNAcentral